RNA transcript from Pelmatolapia mariae (spotted tilapia), 3789 nucleotides. It is a transcript of the gene named coiled-coil domain containing 85A, with no coding region annotated. The record is from RefSeq and is a predicted model, not a curated record. The transcript has 4 exons. NCBI's taxonomy places the organism in Eukaryota, Metazoa, Chordata, Actinopteri, Cichliformes, Cichlidae.
CUGCUCUCCACACUAUCACACCUUGUUAUCCUGGCGCUCCGGCUAUGCACCUGCAACCUCUCCUUGGAGCCCCCCUUCUUAUCAUCCUCUUUUUUCCGCCCUCCGCCCCGGCGGUCGGACAGAGGUAGUGCGCGCUCAGCAGCGGGAGUGCGCAAAGCGGUCGGCAUGCACCUGGAGAGAAACCGCCCCGCCAAGCCGGCCAAGGGCUUAACCAGAGACGCAGCAGGAUGCGGAACGAUGCUCUAACGACAGUGAUAUAGCAGCAGAGCACCGGGUGGAUAUCAGAGCUGCAGCAUGGGCGUGGGAAAAAGGCGCAAUGACAGCGAUGUGAUUCCACAGAUAUAAGAAGGGUGGGUGGGGGGAACCCGAGUUACGUUUGGACCAGAGUUGUGCAUUUUAAAGCUUCGAUUUGGUUGCUCUGAAAUUCAUCAGACACAACACUUUGUUUUACCUCCCGGUCUACCUUCACCGGAGUUUAAAGGGAUGGAGAAAAGCGCACAGCAGCAGUCCAAAAGCGCAGAGAGACCAGCAGAGGACAUCUCCAAAAUUCCCGAUGAGGAGCUGCUGAAGUGGGGUAAAGAGGAGCUGGUGAGGCGGCUGCGGAGGGCAGAAGCAGAAAAAAGGGGCGUCAUCGUGGAGCACGGCAAUCUGAUGCGGGAGGUGAACCGGAGACUCCAACAACACCUGAACGAGAUACGGAGUUUGAAGGACGUGAACCAGAAACUGCAGGAGGACAACCAGGAGCUGAGGGACCUGUGCUGCUUCCUGGAUGACGACCGGCAGAAAGGGAAGCGGGUGUCGCGGGAAUGGCAGCGAUUGGGUCGCUACAGCGCUGGCCUGAUGAGGAAGGAAGUGGCUAUCUAUUUGCAGAAGCUUAAGGAGCUGGAGCAGCGGCAGAUGGAGGUGAUCCGGGAGAACCUGGAGCUUAAGGAGGUGUGCCUCAUGUUAGAAGAGGAGAGGGCCACAGUUGUGGCUGGAAGCACAGGGGGAAGUGGUGGUGGUCAGGGAGGCCCUGGCUGCAGGAACUCCAUUGACAGUCAAAGUAGCCUGUCUCAGCUGGGCGGUGGCAUGCCUACACCAGGCCUGUUGCGGGAUGUUGGCGAUGGAAGCAGCACCUCCAGCGCAGGGAGCACAGACAGCCCAGAUAACCCUCACCAUAAACCCUCCCCUCUUGGCUCCAAUUCAAGCCCUGGAUCUGGCUCAAGAUGCAGCUCUUCAGGACAAAAGAGAGAUGUUUGUGAAUUCAGCGGGAGGAGGCGCAGCUCCACCACGGAGUACCACACCUUUCCCCAGUCCUGCCGGCCCCGUGGAGGGUCCCUCACCAACCUAGAGCUUCACAGCUUUCGAGGACACAGCCCAGAGAAACACAGCAAGUCUCCUACCAGACUACCUUGUGGCUCCCACUCCAAACCCUGCAGCUCUGACCUACUAGCACAGAAACAGCUACUGAUGUCAGGACAGGCAUCUCCAGGCAGUGGCAAGGGCUCAGCUAAGUCCAGCCCAGAUCUGAGUCAGCGACACCGGCAGGUAAACUCAGCAGGGGCUGGGAGUCCUGAAGCCAAGCAGAUAGCAAUGGGCACACCUGAGCACCUGAGAAAAGGGCGGGUGAUUGUGGGAAGUCCAGAGUCUAUACGGCAGCACUAUCACUAUCAUCAGAGCCCAGGGGUGGAGCACAGCAAGGGGAAGUAUAGUAGUGGCUCCCCUGGCAGGGAUGGAAGUCACAGGAGACCAGCGGGUGAAGAGAUGGCCCCCCACCACCAGAGUCUGUACAACGGUAGGCACAUGCUCUGAUAUCUGCUGGCUGCUGCACCAACUCAUGUAGGAGUGUUAAACUGUGGGACAGCUUCGAUGCUUCCUGACCAUGACAUGCCUCUUGAUGAGAUGCUGCUGUGACAACAUGCACCCCAGAGAGAGCAGAAGGGGCAAGAGGAUCGAUACAUAACCGGUCGCAUAAAUGAUCAGGCCAAUCAAAACUUCGCAGUGAACAGCGACAACAAGCAGACAUAAAUACUCUCUCUGCCUUUUCUGCUGUUGCUGCUACUGAUGCUGCUAUGGAUUUACUGAGGACCACCAGAAAAAAACGAAUGUCAUUGUUCAGAUGGGCGAAGAUUUGUCCCUGCAUUGCCAAAAGGAACAGAAGAAAACAAAACAACUGAGAAUCUGCGGUUGCCAAUUAUAAAGUCCUACCUCUUUGGAAAGACAGAGCCCUUAUGGAUAAAAUAAGUUGUAUAUCAAGAGUAGUUGUUCCUGCUAACAGUCAAGGAUACAUUCCUGUCUCUUCGCUGUCACACCUGUGAGCAUUUGAAAAUUAAAAUGUGUGAAAACGCAGUUUUAGGUAAUGGUAACUACUUUUACAAAGUAAUUGUGGAUCUGGAAUUGAAGCACAAAAAGUUUACUUUAACCUCUCAACAUCUGUUAGAUUACCAGUGACAAGUUUGCGGUUAGUAUUAGGUUCAUGUCUACUUUUUAUAUUGUAUUGUAACCAAUUGAAAAUCUUAAAACUGUUAGACCAACAUGCAUGUAAAAGAACUGAUUUGAAAGCAACAUUUCCUAGUUUAUGAAACUAUGCUUGUUUAGCAUGUGGCUUAAACCUAAUUAUAACCUUUUCCUCAUUUGGUUCACCUGGUGGAUGUUAGGAGGUUAACAUUUUUUGUGGAUAAAUUUGAUAGUUUUGGCCAUAAUUGUUAGAAAUUAUAUUUCUAUUCACUACAGAAUUUCUCAAGAUGUAAGACAAGAAACUAAUUUGACAAUUGGCAGUCACAAAGGAUGGGACAAGCCACUUUCGUUUUUGAGUUUUAGUUAGUUGUUACUACAUACAUCUACUGACGCAUGACCACAGUGUGCAGUAUUAGAGCCAACCAUGUAUAGGCCCUGACUACAAAAUAUAUAGAAAAACAUAUGUACCUAUAAUUAUAUACACACAUGUAAUGAAGAAUACACAUAAAACACUAAAAAUACAUAUCACUACAAAAAAGUAAAAAAAGCAAAUAUAGAUUAAAAAAAUACAUCAUCAUAACAUCAACACAUCAACACACAGGUGAUGGGGACAAAAUAUGGUCUCUCGUAGGGGCCCCAAAAUGUGAUUGUAAACAUGCUUUUGUUCCUACACAAUGAGUAUUAAAUAUAUAUACACACACGCACACACACAGUCAUGUGUUUAACUCUUGCAGUAAGUUACAUUAAUUUCCUGUGGAUUUGCUCUAAAUGUACCCAUUCUGCCUUUCCUUUGCUUUUGUUACAAUUGUGGAUGCAUAUAUUAAAUACAUAUAUGUUUUAGAUAAUGAGGUCAGUGAAUGAACAAAUAUCUCAAAACGUCUUGAUGCAUGCUCAAUCAUCCAGGUAAGUAAAUCUCCAAAAGUUGAUUCUGUUCAUCUGGACGUAGCGUUUUGUGGGAGAAACGUUUCGUCACUCAUCCAAGUGACUUCUUCAGUCUCAGCUGACUGCAGGUUUCCCCAAUCUUAACCCAGGAACGCUGGUUAGAGCGCGGAGUCAAGGAGGCCAUUUACGUGAAAAGGGAAAGACCAUCUCUGAAUCGAGGAGGGGGCUUAAGGGUACAGCUUUCGCCAUCUUACAAUGCUGUGAUUGCAGCCAUUCCCCAACUCUCUCUGAAUGGUACUCAUGGCCAUUGAUCAGUGGGUUUUGGUCAGUGGUUGUUGAUCAAUGGUCAUGAGACUUUGCAUAAUUAAGAUUAAGGAACUGACCUCCCAGCCCAUUGUUCCUUCAGUGGGCUGGUUUCAGUCAUUAUGCAAAUGUACUGCUUAUAAGAUUGGGGAAACCUGCAGUCAGCUG